CAGUUGCUGAGACUUCACAGUUACUCAAAGCUGGGUCUGGGUGUGGUGAUUGCAGUGCCACUCUUGCCUCAGAAAGGCCAUUAAACCUCAGAGCUUCAAGCCUCAUUGCAGCCAAUUUUUUCAUGGAAGCAGAUGUUGACAGCUGGGAGGAAUCCUUCUGGGACCCUGAAGGAAGGCUGAGGAAAAUGCCCUUUCAAGAGGUCAUAGGAUUUGGCUUCUAAGCUUUACUAAAAUUUGAUUGAAUGGACCAACUUGCAAGAGCUGCUGAUUUUGAAAAUGAGAUUGAGACUUCACUGGAUAAAGUCAACCAUUGUUAAGUCAAGUAGAACAUUGUACAACACAAUAAACUUCACAUUAGGAAUUUCUUCAAAGAUACACCCAUAUUCAAGUCAAGUCUUAACUAUAGUUUAGAUAUAUGAAAUUUAGCACUGAGUAGUGAAGAAACAGGUAGUGACCAAAAAGAGGAAAUAUGUAAAAUAGAAAGAUAGCCUCUUUUUAAAUAAUA
Molecule: long non-coding RNA, 505 nt
Organism: Artibeus jamaicensis (Jamaican fruit-eating bat)
Lineage: Eukaryota; Metazoa; Chordata; Mammalia; Chiroptera; Phyllostomidae
Exons: 3
Source: RefSeq, a predicted model, not a curated record